CCUACGGGAGGCAGCAGUGAGGAAUAUUGGUCAAUGGACGAGAGUCUGAACCAGCCCAGUAGCGUGAAGGAUGACUGCCCUAUGGGUUGUAAACUUCUUUUAUAAAGGAAUAAAACGAGGCACGUGUGCCUUUUUGCAUGUACUUUAUGAAUAAGGAUCGGCUAACUCCGUGCCAGCAGCCGCGGUAAUACGGAUGAUCCGAGCGUUAUCCGGAUUUAGUGGGUUUAAAGGGAGCGUAGAUGGGUUGUUAAGUCAGUUGUGAAAGUUUGCGGCUCAACCGUAAAAUUGCAAUUGAUACUGGCAGUCUUGAGUACAGUUGAGGUAGGCGGAAUUCGUGGUGUAGCGGUGAAAUGCUUAGAUAUCACGAAGAACCCCGAUUGCGAAGGCAGCUUACUAAACUGUGACUGACAUUGAUGCUCGAAAGUGUGGGUAUCAAACAGGAUUAGAUACCCUAGUAGUC
This 460-nucleotide ribosomal RNA is filed under the name uncultured bacterium. Its description in RNAcentral is "partial 16S ribosomal RNA". It matches the Rfam family "Bacterial small subunit ribosomal RNA", at positions 338 to 795 of the family's 1533-position model. The record is from RNAcentral.